CCUACGGGAGGCAGCAGUGAGGAAUAUUGGUCAAUGGACGAGAGUCUGAACCAGCCAAGCAGCGUGAAGGAUGACUGCCCUAGGGGUUGUAAACUUCUUUUAUAUGGGAAUAAAAUGUUCCACGUGUGGGAUUUUGUAUGUACCAUAUGCAUAAGGAUCGGCUAACUCCGUGCCAGCAGCCGCGGUAAUACGGAGGAUCCGAGCGUUAUCCGGAUUUAUUGGGUUUAAAGGGAGCGUAGGUGGGUUGUUAAGUCAGUUGUGAAAUGUUGCGGCUCAACCGUAAAAUUGCAGUUGAAACUGGCAGGCUUGAGUACAGUAGAGGGGGGCGGAAUUCGUGGUGUAGCGGUGAAAUGCGUAGAGAUCACGAAGAACUCCGAUUGCGAAGGCAGCUCACUGGACUGCGACUGACGCUGAGGCUCGAAAGUGUGGGUAGCAAACAGGAUUAGAUACCCGAGUAGUC
Molecule: ribosomal RNA, 460 nt
Filed under: uncultured bacterium
Lineage: Bacteria
Description: partial 16S ribosomal RNA
Rfam family: Bacterial small subunit ribosomal RNA
Source: RNAcentral